AUGAUGGAUGGCCAACCUAUGGUGAGCUACUCUACAGGAGCAAUAAACUCCCUUCUCGAUAAGCUCACCAAAGUGAAGAAGCAUCCCGAUAAAAUUCUAGAUUUACGGAGAGCCCUGGUGGCUCUUGAAUCGGAUUUUUUCGGCAAGCUUGCGAGGCGACGGGAGAUGAACUCGCAAGUCGAAGCGUGGGUGAAGCAUGUGAGCGAACUGGUCUUCGACAUGGAAGACUGGAUCGAACAGAAGGGACAUGAACAAUUGGAGAUUGAGGAGGAAAUGGAAAAUUUCCAGGCCCAGAUCAAGCACGCUCGUGAGCUCUGUGAAAGGUACAAUCUUGUUACUGAAGUUCGCACUGACUUCCAUGGUCCUGCUGUUGUACCAGGCCAAGUGACAAAAACUGAUUCGCGGCCACUUGUGGAGGACAAAUCUGGUAUCAUCGUCGAUGUCCCAAAUCCAAGAGAUGGGCUUCUCAAGCUUCUGAGAAGCGAGCAUGAGAAGAGGCUAAAGACUGUUUUCAUCGUCGGAAUGGAAGGCCUUGGCAAGACCACUCUUGCCAAGGAGAUAUAUGAAGAGCUUCAAGGGGAGUUCGAUUGCCGAGCUUUCGUUACUCUUGGCAGGAGGCCAUCCAUGAGGGGGACUCUAAUGGACAUACUUCGUCAAGUGAAGUCCUCGCAGAAGAAGAAUAAGGUAAAGCCGAAGACUAAUCCUAGGUAUGGCGGCGAAAAAUCUGACCAGGAUCUGGAAAACCUCGUCAGUAAGCUUUGGGACUACCUCGGCACCAAGAGGUAUUUCAUCUUAGUGGAUGGCGUAUGGAGCACACAGGCUUGGGGAAUCAUCAAUUGUGCUUUACCCAACAAAAACCAUGGAAGCAGGGUAUUAACAACAACUUGCAUUAGCGAUGUUGGCAAGUUUUGUUCUGUACGUCCCACUGAUGUCUAUUGGAUGGAGACACUAAGUGAUAAAAAGUCUGAAGUCGUAUAUGAGCAAGAAACAAAACGAGUUAAAGAAUGGCCAGCUGAAGUUGCCACAAAUAUGUUAAAUAUGUGUGGUGGCAUGCCAUUGGCUAUAAUUAUUGCAGCCGGCAUAUUAAGUACGAAAGAUGAAGAACUCCCGGAGCUCAACAUGUCUGUUGUUUCAUCACUAGAGCAAUAUUCCACGUCAAAAGGGAUGGCAAAGAUACUCCAGAUAAGUUAUGCUGCUCUAUCCAUGCCUUUGAAGUCGUGCUUGCUUUAUUUGAGUAUUUUUCGUGAAGAUUAUACCAUCAAGAAAGAUCGUCUGAUACACUUAUGGAUAGCGGAAGGACUUAUUCCUAUAAAAGAUAAAGAAAUAAAAUGUCAAGAAAUAAGAGAUGAAGAAACAAGAUGUGAAGAAGUGAUAGUUGACGGAGGAGAAAAAACAAGAGAAAAAAGGGGUGAAGAAAAGAGACGGGAAGAAACAAGUGGUGAAGAAAAAGGAGGUGAAGACACAGUUGAAGGAGGAAAAGGAGCAGGAGUUAAAGAAAAAAGAGGUGAAGAAAUAAUAUGUGAAGAGAAAAGCAGUGAGGAGAAAGGAGCUGAAGAAACAAGUGGCGGAAAAAUAAGAUGUGAAGAAGCAAUCAGUGAAGAAAAAGAUGGUAAAGGUGACGAAGAAAGCUUGUGGGAGACAGGGGAGAAGUACUUCAACGAGCUUAUCACGAGGAGACUCAUUCAGCCAGUGUUCGGCUACGAUGAUGACCAGGCAGUGGGUUGUACCGUUCACAGUGUGAUCCUUGAUUUCAUCAAGUCACUGUCGUGCAAUGGCAACUUUGUUACAUUCGGUGCAGAUCUCAAGUCCGGGCUGUUUCCAGGUAGCAAACAUACGGUUCGGCGAUUCUCGCUCGACUGCUAUGACGACCAAGACGAAGAUGGCACCUUGGCCUCGAUCGCAGUUCACCUAUCUAGAGUGCGAUCGGUCACUGUUUUGGGAGAUAUUCAAGGGAUUGCUGGCUUUUCGGCCCUCACAGUGUCUGGGGAAAUUCAAGGGACGUCAGUCCUUCCGUCUUUCAAACUUAUACGAGUACUGGAUCUGGAAGAUACUGCUCAUCUGAGAAAGCAUCAUCUUGAAGGCAUUGGCGGAUUGGUUCUCUUGAGAUACCUGGGACUUGCAGGGACUGACGUCGAUGAGUUACCAGAAGAAAUUGGGGAACUAGAGCAGUUGGAUACCCUAAAUUUGAGGCGGACAACAAAUCUGAACACUUUGCCUGCGUGUAUAGCUGAACAGAUAAGGUUGGCACAUCUGCUAAUUGAAGCUACUGUCAAACUGCCCAGCAAGAUCCUGGAAAUGCAGGGACUAGAAGAAGUAUCGACAAUAGGUGUCGGCAAUAGCAGCUCAAUCGGCUCAGUCGUACAGCUCCUGAAGAAGUCAGAGCGGCUGAGGGUUCUCGGCUUAAGAUUUGAUCGGUCACACCUAUCUGAUGAUGAGAACGCAAGAGCCCUAUUUGAGCAGGUUGCAAACUGUACUAAGCUUCGUUCCCUGUCUCUUGAUUGCCUUGAUAAUAAGUUGCUUGACUUACUGCUCCGGUUCCCUCCAUCUGAUGAGCUCCGAAGAUUUGAGCUGAAAGUCUCUGCUCCACUUCGCAGAGGACUGGCCCCUCUUGUCAGCGUUACCCACAUGGAUAUUGAGAUUGUUCGGUUAAACAACGAAGGUGUCCGUGUCCUGGGAGGCUUGCCUAAGCUAGUACUUCUCAAGUUAGUAUCUUCAGGUAUCAUCGAAUCUAAACUUAAAUUAAAACGUAUCAUCGAACCACAGUUAUUGAAGAAGAUCGUCCGUGUGACCAUGAGACUAGGAAAAAGGAUUCCAUUGACGAAGAAGAAGGGUAUAAACAGUAGGUGCACCGUCAGUGGGGAUGAUGGCUUUAAUUGUCUUAAGGUGUUCUCGUUCAAUUGCCUAUCUGGGGGGACGGAGCUGCGCUUCACAUCAGGAGCCAUGAAGAAGCUUGAAAGGCUAUCCCUCCAAUUCUCUGCACUGCAAACAAAGCCUCGGUAUGGAAACUUCAGUUUUGGCAUUCCGUGUCUCUCUUCUCUCACACAUGUCCAUGCCACGGUUAACUGCAAAUCUGCUAAAGCUAAGGUGGUGAGGGAUGCGGAGAAGGCAAUCAGAGAUCAAGUAGCUAUGUUGUCCUCGGUACAAACAGCAGUAUUCAGCACAAACAAUACUUCUUCCGGGACAAAGCAAACAAGGCAACUACUUCCCUAG
This 3210-nucleotide ribosomal RNA is filed under the name Triticum aestivum (bread wheat). RNAcentral's name for it is "partial small subunit ribosomal RNA". The record is from RNAcentral. Lineage: Eukaryota; Viridiplantae; Streptophyta; Magnoliopsida; Poales; Poaceae.